UCUCUCUCUCUCCUCUCUCUCUUGCCUCGAUUGCUAUAUUUUUGUAGACCAAAGGUUGCUUUAGAAUAAAAGACACACCUCCUAAACUCAAAACAGUCAAUGUUACCUCCUUGUAUGAUGUCGAGUUCUGGAUUGUGAUUGGUCAGAAAGCGUCGGUUAAUUUUCCAUUCAAUUCUAACUCAAUGUCUUGAUUAGCAUAAAAUAAAAUAAAAUAAAUCAAACGGAUUUAGCAUCAUUAUCCAGCUACCUGAACACAGCAGUCUGAUAAGAUUAAAGUGAACUAGCGUAGCUUAGCUGUUGUUUACUCAACAGCUCUCGAGCGGUAGCUAGCUAACAGAAAAGAGUCAGGUUUUGUAGCAGGGUAGCGAGUGGUCGAGAAACAGGGCUGCCGCAUAAUUAAAAGCCGUGCUGGAGUUAAGUAUUGAGUUAGCUGACACUAGAUAAACUACUGAUCAGGGUUAUGAUUGGCUGAUCAACUCCACUGAACUUAGCCGACCCUGGAACACCUCUCACUGGAGAAACAUCAGAUGCGGGAAGCAGAGAAGUGUUUCUCCUGAACACGCUGUUAAACGUGAUACUGCAGGACUUGAUUAAGGCUGGUGCAGAGAGCCAUAUAGGGUCCCUAUGGAGUGAUCAUAUUGCGGUUUAGCGCACGCCCUGAGCUUCACCCAGGCUUUCAGGGAGAAGCCAGUAAAAGCUUCCUGAUAUAAUUACAGGCUGUGUAAUGUGGAGUGUUAGACAUCGACCUCUGCCCUUAAUCUCUGCUUUUAAUAAACAAAACUCACCAAAAUCUGCCCCAGAUGUGUCUUAAUCUACACCACAGAAAUACACCACGACUCUAUCCAGGAUAUAUAAUCUUACUUACAUUUUAAAAACACUUACUGAUUCUGUGAUAAUCCGAACUGAUAUAAAGAAUAGAACAUUCCCAAAUAACUUCUCUUAUAGGAUAAUAAUGAACAAUGACGCUGAGGUACACUACCACUCCCUGAAGCUGAAUAUUCUCCUGUAACAGCACAUUCCUCUUAUACCACAGCAAUAUGCCAACAAAUAUCAUAUUUAUUUAUUAAAGAAUGAUAUGAUGUGCAUUUAAUGUUGUGGAAUGUCCUCGCUUAUGUUAAAGCAGCCAGCCUCUCUUUAUUCUCUCUUCUAGUUAACAAAACAGAAAUGCAGCUUGUCGUCUUACAGAGAACGUGAAAAAAGCAAAGCGCUGACACUGGAGACUCCUUCCCCAGAUGUUAAAUACACAUCUCCUUAAAGAAAGCUUCACCGUGUCAGUGAUUUUUAAUCCGUUUACAUGGAGCGUCCGCUGUAACAGACCCUGUGAACGGGCUUUUGCUAUAGAAACGAUAAUGUAUUAGAACGAGCGCAUUAAUAUAAAGCUGUGAUGUGCAGCUGCAAUACUGUUAUAGAAAACUAAUCAACUAGUCCUGACCAAUCAGAAUCCAGAACUCAACAGCGCUAGUGUUAGGUGGAAUAACUAAUGUUUUGUUUCAAUCUUUAAAAUGAGCACUAAAGUAUAAUAAACUCUGUGUGUGUGUGUGUGUGUGUGUGUGUGUGUGUGUGUGUGUGUGUGUGUGUGUGUGUGUGUGUGUGUGUAUUCAUAAGAAAUGAUUGGCCGGUGAAAUGUUCAGACUGUAACGUUACAUGCUGCAGUGUGGUUGUAGAGUUUUGCUCAACUAUUAACUUACUGUUCUUGAUAGAUAGACAGACAGAGAGAUAGACAGAUAGAUAGAUAGAUAGAUAAUGUCCAUCCAAGGUUUCUCUUAUACAUGAACACCCAUAAUGGGCCAUCUGAUAGAUAUAAAGGGGGGAUCAGAACAUAAAUUUAUCCUAAACCUGAAUAUAAAAAUAGCUGAUACAGAGUCAGACCAUAACUUUUGUUUGCCUGUUAGUCUUAGCCAUCUGUUCAGACCUAACCACAAGAUGUUCCAACAUCUGCACAUCACAAAUAUCAUCUCUCUCUCUCUCUCUCUCUCUCUCUCUCUCUCUCUCUCUCUCUCUCUCUCUUCUCAUGUUUAAAAAAUUGCAGCGAUAUCUAAAAGUAGUGCGUUAAUGCAGAUCUUUGUGGUCUUUGACUGCCAUCUAGCGGCCACAUAAUGUAAUAACACUGCAAUGUUCUCAAGAUUUUAAGAUAUAUAUUAUAAACACACAUGUUGAUCAAACUGAUAAAGUCCCUUCAAGCAUACAGAAGGUUUGUUUAGGUAAAAUAACGAGCACCUGUCGAUAAUCAUUUUAUAAUUGAUCAUUUUUGUUAAAAAAAAAAAAAAAAAAACUGGCUGUACUGACCCCACUGUAAGUAAUACACUAAGGAGACUGACUGACUACUGACUGAUCCCUCCACCUGAAAAGGAAAAAUAUAUAUCUUAUCAUUUGACUAAUUGUACUUAAUAAUACAGCACCGCAUGUGUAAGGUUUAGUUUCAGUUUGUCCUCGUUAUCUGAGUGAUGAUUACAGAAUCCUCCAGCAGGGGGCGGUGUGCAAGGUCCGCUGUAAAAUCAAAAGAACACGAGCUGCUGUUUUCCCGGUUAGACGGCCAGAUCACCUUCUACAGGAACAACUUUCUGAAGGGAAUUUGUAGCGAGGAACCCUGGUGAAGCUUCUGGGGUUUCUUCAUGACUGUAAAUGUAAUUCAGCAGAAGCUUUGGAGCUUUACAAACAGAGAGCACAGUGUCAUCUACUGCUGGUGUGAGGUAAUUACAGGCAAUUGAAGUCUCAGUGAGGACUUUUAUUUUGAGCCAAUCGUCUCUAAUUGAACACUUGCUAACUUGUUCAGUUCAGUUCAAUUCAGUUUUAUUUGUAUAGAGCUUUUAACAGUGGACAUUGUCUCAAAGCAGCUCAACAGAAAUAUAUAAAUUCAGGAUAUCAUAUAUAUGGGUGUAUGAAUGGGUGUGUGAUUGUGUGCCCUGCGAUGGACUGGCACCCUGUCCAGGGUGUACCCUGCCUUGUGCCUGAUGCUCCCUGGGAUAGGCUCCAGGUUUCCCCGCAACCCUGAAAGGAGUAAGCGGUUGAAGAUGGAUGGAUGGAUGGAUGGAUGGAAUUUAUCCCUAAUGAGCAGCCAGAGGUGACGGUGGUGAGGAAAAACUCCCUGAGACGAUAUGAGGAAGAAACCUUGAGAGGAACCAGACUCAGAAGGGAACCCGUCCUUAUCAGGGUGACACCAGAUAGUGCGAUUAUAAAUAAAUACACCCCUUCUAUAAAUGUGCUAAUACUACAUGCUGAAAUAGUGCAGUUGUAAAACCAGGAAAUUCAUUACAGUUUCUACAUGAAGUCUGUUUUGUUGAACUUGUUCACUGAUGGAUACUUGAGUAUAAAACUGUUUGUGGUAAUUGUAGUGCUAAAGCUAUCAUAGCAUAACUGUUCUGAGGUCCAACUGAACUGAGGUCCAAAGCAUCUUUAUGUAGUUUAAGUGGUAACAUCCUCAGUGAUUUCAAUUAUCUUUAGGCUACACCAUGUGGAGCCAUCCUCAGCAUGAUGAGAACUCCAAACAAAAGUAGGGCACCAUGAUGGAUCAGGCAGGUCCAAAGAGUAGAAGGAGUCAGGAUCACUGGUGUGUCAGGAGUAGCAUGUGUAGCUCGACUUGUGGAGCAGAAAAGCUCAGGAUUCACAUCAAAGCCACACGUUCAAUGUGAGCUCUGACCUGAUUUCCCUGCUUGUUGUAAGCCUUUACUCUCUCUCUCUCUAUAUAUAAUUACUUUUGUGUAUAAGAUAGCUAAUUUCACCUACAUUCCCUCUACACAAACACUCCUGCUAUAGAAGUGUAUUAAAAAACGAUCUGAUUCAUAAACAAUGAUAUAUCAAAAUAUUCAAAUGUACUAUGCCACAGUGCUGUUGAGUUCUGGGCUGUGAUUGGUCAGAAGGUGUUGAUUAGUUACAGCACUGACAAUAGCGCAGGUUUAUAUUAACGCGUUUUCUGUAAGGAGUCUCCAGUGUCAGUGCUUUGUAAUAGUUAGAGGUAAAGCCGUAACUUUAAGGUUUCUGGCAUCUUCAUGACAGAGGGGUUUGUGAUAACACGACAUAAAUGAAUAAAUAUAUUUAUUUAUUUUUUAAGAUAUGGUGUGCAUUUUGUUUACAAUAUUAAACCUCUGUUUAUAGCAGUUUUGAUAUUUACUUAUUUUGUUUCAUGCAGACAGAAAUGUAUAUUGUUUUGCACUGUUUGUGAUUCACAAACAAAAAAAUGAGUCUUUCAGUCAUAAUUUUAUUCACAAUAUUCCAAGCAUGGAAUCGUGACCGGAGUCUAUAUCGCUACACCCCUAAUAUUUAUAUCCACGCACCAGCCUGACCGCGCUAUGAAUUGUGGGUAGCGAGGUGUGAGGUCCUGCUCCAUCUGCUGCAGAGGAAGUUGGAGGUAAAACCCGGAGCGGAUCUUCAGGAACAGGCCCAGAUCCUGCUGAGGAGGAAUUCAUUCAUUCAUCACUAUAAUGAGGCUUUAAACGGACAUCUUUAAUGUGGUGACGUCAUCCGCCAUGAUAAAUCAACAUCCCAUUCAGAUUGAUCAUCAUUUAUUAAUCUCUGUAUGAAUUUUAUUUUAAAAUAUUUAUUUAUUUUAAAAGUUGUAAGGUAUUUUAGCUCUUAGUAGGGGAAAAAAUUAAGCAGAAUAAUAUUUAUCGAGAAUAUUUACAUGUAAUUAUUUACAGUUUAAAAAAAAAAAAGAUUAAACUUAAAAUGAGUGCUUGAUUGGCUUUUUGUGUGCCAAAGACCUGGAAUAAACUUUAAACAUUCAUCAAGAAAAACAAACAAACAAACAAACAAAUCAAACAUAUUUUUCUACUCUAGCUUUUAUUAUCUGCUUGUCUUCACUGCCAUGUUACUUUUACAUGCCUAAUUACGGCACUGUUAUUUAUUUUUACACACGUUUUAAAAAUGAAAUAUAGUUUCAGUCUAUAUUACUAUCAUUUCCUUCUUUCCGUCAUGUCUGUAUUGAUUUCAUCAUCAUCAUCAUCAUCAUCAUUAUUAUUAUCUGCCUAUUUGCCUAGUGUGAUAUUUUGUCUACUUCUUGUUGCUUUAUUGUUGUUUACACUUCACUCUGUCAGUUUAAAAGUAUUUAAAAGUUUCUGUACCAACUCAGUUCACUAUCAUUUGAAUAACGUUCUUUUCUAAUAGAAUAAAAUGAUCUGAAACAUUUCGUGUCGGUGUUUAAGGUUUAAAAAGUUUAAGUUAAAAAAAAAAAUAAAAAAAAAGUGAAAGGCUCCGGUUCCGUGUUUUGUUUACACUCGGCCGUGUUGAUGUACGGC
Long non-coding RNA from Ictalurus punctatus (channel catfish), 5231 nucleotides. The record is from Ensembl. Lineage: Eukaryota; Metazoa; Chordata; Actinopteri; Siluriformes; Ictaluridae.